This 253-nucleotide ribosomal RNA is filed under the name uncultured bacterium. RNAcentral's name for it is "partial 16S ribosomal RNA". It matches the Rfam family "Bacterial small subunit ribosomal RNA", at positions 524 to 776 of the family's 1533-position model. The record is from RNAcentral.
UACGAAGGGGGCGAGCGUUGUUCGGAUUUACUGGGCGUAAAGGGCGCGUAGGCGGCCCCUCAAGUCAGGCGUGAAAGCCCCGGGCUCAACCUGGGAGGUGCGCUUGGGACUGAGGGGCUGGAGUUCGGGAGAGGAGCGUGGAAUUCCCAGUGUAGAGGUGAAAUUCGUAGAUAUUGGGAAGAACACCGGUGGCGAAGGCGGCGCUCUGGACCGAGACUGACGCUGAGGCGCGAAGGCGUGGGGAGCAAACAGG